Rattus norvegicus (Norway rat) is the source of this 4703-nucleotide non-coding RNA. Lineage: Eukaryota; Metazoa; Chordata; Mammalia; Rodentia; Muridae. The record is from RefSeq and is a predicted model, not a curated record.
CCUGGCUAUAGAAAAAAAUUAAUUAGUAUAUGCCAACUGGAUCAACUAUUUUUUUUUUCUUUUUUUCGGAGCUGGGGACCAAACCCAGGGCCUUGUGCAUGCUAGGCAAGUGCUCUACCACUGAGCUAAAUCCCAACCCCUGGAUCAACUAUUACCACAGAUCCCAACUACAUUUGGGGAUGAGACAGGGUUUCUUUGCCUCAGCUGUCCUGGAACUCACUGUGUAGACCACACUGGCCUAGAACUCAGAGCUCUGCCUGCCUCUGUCUCCUGAGUGCUGGGAUUAAAGGUGUGCACUACCAAUACCACCGGCCCCAGCUAUCUUUUAUGCGGACUUAUAAAGAUUGCAUUUAUCCUUCCACAGGCCUCCCAAAUCAGGGAAAUUAAAACCUCGGGUCUUUAAAACUGCCAAGGGAGGAAGGAAGAAAAGACACCCAAACAGUAGCAAAGCAUAUCAGAUCAGCUGUCAAGUGGAAAAUUCAGUUUGCAAGGUCCCAGGAGAGGGACCCAGGACUGGAGGGUGGGCGUGAAUAUGAACCAUUGCUUUCAUAUAUCCAGCCCAGUGAGAGGUGCAAGGACUGGGAGGUAGGGCUCCCCAUCCCAGAACAGGGCUGGGCCGCCACCUGAGGGAAUUCUGCAGAAAUGACUCAGGAUCUGAUGGGAAAACUCUCCUCAGUUCCCAGCGAUACUGCAGGAUAGCCCAUGCAGACUUUCUCUCCAAUUCUGACAGCUUUUAGGAAGUAUGCCCCCUCCAUCUUGUUAAAUAGAUGCUGAUAAUGAUCACGAAACACCUUUUCUAUGCAUUUCCUUUGGUCAUUUUGUUUUCGUUGCUGCUGUUGUUUGGGUUGAGGAGACUGCUGGUUUUUUUCUUAGAAGGUUUCACAUAUCCUAUGCUAGUUUUGAACUCAGUAGGGGGCCAAGGAUGACCUGGAACUUCUGAUCCUGUCACCUUCGCAUUCUGAGUCCUGGGAGUUAGAGGAUGAGCCACUAUGUCUGGUUUAUGCACAACUGGGGAUGGAAUUCAGAGCUCCAUGCACCCUAGGCAAGCACUCUAACGAAUGAACUACAUCUCUAAUCACUCUAAGAUGCCAUUUUAAACAUAUUUAAAAUGCAUAGGACAAUUUUGUGACAUUGAUUUUUUUCUUUCCACCUAUGUGGGUUCCAGAAAUUGAACUUAGACCACUAGUCUUUAACCACUGAGCCCAAACACACAUACACACACAAACACACACACACACACACACACACACACACACACACACACACACAAAUACAUGCACAUACAACAAAAGAGUGGCCACAUGUGCUAAAUAACUAAACAGCACUGAGUGAAAACAGGAAGAUUGUUGGUGACAAAAUAUUAAUAUUUUGCCAUUCUUGCAAAAAUUAGACAUUCAACACAAUAUUGGACUACACACACACACACACACACACACACACACACACACCCCUAUGAGAGGGCCAAGGUAAGAAACGAGGGAUAAGAUGAGCCCAGAAAAGGUCAAAAGGAGCUUCUAAGGAGCCCUGUGCAAGAAUUAGCAACAAGAUUCACGUUCAGUCAGUCGUUUUGAACCUAAAGUCAGCAGAAGAAGCAGAUUUGUUUGUGGGAGAAAUGGAGAGACAAUGUUCCCAAGCUAAACUGAAGUCCCAGCAGCAGAGCUUUGCCAUACCCACAGAUGAAUGGGGUAGCUCUGGCUACUUCAGUACAGCAGAUGAAUGGGGUAGCUCUGGCUACCUCAGUACAGCAGCUAUAGCCUAACUCUUAGAAACAGGAGUCUGUGUAAACAGCUAAGCUGGGUGAGAUAAGGAGUAAUAUCAGAUUGCUUUUUAUUGAACAGAAAACACAAUGAAUGAUGCUCGAUCUUGUUUAAUCCAAUAUAGUGUGAGGUUAAGGGACAGGGAAGAUGUGUCACCUUCAUCCAGGGAGCAGAAGACAAGUCUGAGAUUCUGGUCAGGGCUGAUCCCUCUGGUACUAAGGUAAGAUACAGAGAGCAGAGGAAGCCCUCUCUAUAGAAACCACUAUGCCCCCACCGAUAACGCUUGAGAGUCUAACAUGGUGAGAAGUGGAGGCCUCGUGUCAGAAUGGCUCCUUUGGGUAAACACUGUCCUUUGGGAGACACCUGCAAACAAACGUAUCUUUCUAAUCUUUUCUGAGAAGAGAGGAAGCAGCAUUAUAGCUUUAAAAAUGUCCAUGAAAGGACCUCAGAUCAGGAUGAACUACACCCAGAGAAAGACCUUCUCUGUAAAUAGAAAAGACCACAAGGAAAGAUGGCUUCCUGACACAGGACCCAGCCAGAGCAGAUGCAGGGAAGCUAGCGGAUGAGUCAGGAACAUUCCAGAACUCAUUGUGCACUCUGAGGAGGGCCCGAAGGAUACCCAAACUUCUCACUUAUUGGCAAGUGAAAAGUCGUAACUUAGUGUAUACAUUUUAUUAUACACUAUAUAUAAUUAUAGUAUGUAGAGUAAGUGCUUUAUGGUUUAUCCUCUUUCUCAUGCUGAAUACUUCAGAACACGCUAACAUGAAUAACACAUGUUAAUAAACAUUAGCAUAUCCUAAGGAAGGUUUGAUGACACGUUCUUAGAUAUUUUGCAAAUUCCUUCCAUAUCUGCUUUUAGAGAAUAGGCAGAUGGGCUCUCGACUCUGUUUUGCAUCCAGCCUGUUGGGAUAGGUUUUGAGUGAGUUAUGUGUAAGAAGCUAAUUGUUUGUUCAAGUCUAUGUAUGACUUACACGGAAGUGAAGGGACGGUGGACAAAAAUGAAAAUGAAAAUGUUUUGAGAUGCGAUCUAGCUGUGCAGACCAGGCUGGCCUCAAGCUCAUCAUCCUCCUGGCUCAGGUUCUCAAUGUUGGGAUUUCAAGCAUGUGUCAUCCACCCUGGCUCUAAUUUAUCCUUUAGAGCAUAACAUUCCUAAAAAUGUUCUAACUUUCAAGAGCGCUUUCAGACAUUGCUACAGAGAAAUAUUAGGAAUGAGUGGACUCGGAUAUCAAAUUAUUAUGCUCACGAAUGCAAGGCAAACAGAAGAGCCCGUAUGUUUCGAAGAACCCGUAUGUUUCGAAGAGCCCGUAUGUUUCGAAGUCCACUUAAUUUUAACUAGGUUCAGCAAGCAGCUACAAAGAAGGGUACUCAUUUUCCCAGAGACUGUUUUGAAGCAUUCCCCGUUCAGAAUGUUUGAGACAGGUAGAAUACACAGACAGCCAAGUUCCACCUAGACAAGGAGACGAGGCUCUUCUGCCUAGCGCAGAAAAGGGCUGAGGCAGGGUGAUUUGGAAAGGCUAAGUAAUCAGGACAGAAGGGGGCAUGAGAGGCUCGGCCUGUGAAGGACACAGAGCAAAGCCAUCAGGCGGGACUUGGCGUGGCAGGUGUACCAGCUGGUUUUGUGUGUCAACCUGACAUAAGCUGGGGUUAUCACAGAGAAAGGCACUUCAAUUGAGGAAAUGCCUCCAUGAGACCCAGCUGUAAGGCAUUUUGUCAAUUAUCGAUCAAGCGGGGAGGACCCAGCCCAUUGUGGGUGGUGCCGUCCCUGGGCUGGUGGUCCUGGGUUCUGAAAGGGAGAGGGGGGGGAGGGAGGGGAGGAAGGAAGGAAGGAGGAAGGAAAGAAGGAAGGAAGGAAGGAAGGAAGGAAGGAAGGAAGGAAGGAAGGAAGGGAGAGAGAGAGAGAAGGCAGAGUAGCCACAGGACAAAAUGGAAUCUGACACUAUGAUUCCACACUGUACCUUUACAGGUUAUUAUGAAUGUUCUUAAGGGAUGGAUGUGUACUGGGCUUUGUAUGUAUAGGUGGGCAAUUAUAUCUUAUCAAUUGGAUUUAAAAAUAAAAGAAAGAGAAGACAGACAGACAGACAGGCAGACAGUAAGCAGCACAGAAUUAGCUCCUGCCUUCAGGUUCCUGCCCUGUCUGAGUUCCAGUCCUGACUUCCUUUGGUGAUGAACAGCAAUGUGGAAGUGUAAGCUGAAUAAACCCUUUCCUCCCCAACUUGCUUCUUGGUCAUGAUGUUUGUGCAGGAAUAGAAACCCUGACUAAAACAAUAGGUUUGCGAUAAAGAAAGCAAUCACAGGGCUGUUUGGUGCCUCUCCUUUCUUGCUGAUGAAAAGGAAAUCGGGGAACCUAGUGGUCCAGACCAUUAAAGCAAAGACACUAAGGGAUGAUGUAUGCACAUUAUGAAAGCUUGGAUGGUUUUCCUCAUCAUGGGGCAGACUACCCCAGUCGAGCCAACACGAAGCUGUGGACUCUUUUUUUUCUUUUUCUUUUUUUUUUUUUUUCCGGGGCUGGGGACCGAACCCAGGGCCUUGCGCUCGCUAGGCAAGCGCUCUACCGCUGAGCUAAAUCCCCAACCCGAAGCUGUGGACUCUUUAGCUGUGCCUGCCCUUGGGUGCUCCCGCUGAACCACAGUAGAGCAGAGCAGAGCCACAGCAGAGGCUGGGUUGGGGCAGCCUGCUGGACCUUGCAGCCACAACAAUUUUUCAGAAUAUGAAAACUGUCAUUGCUUUCAAUGAGGCAGUGACCGUCAAGCUACACGUAGCCUGAGAGGAACGAGACUUCUAAUAGGAUCAUUGUCACAAUAAGUUCAUGGGCCACAGAGACCUGCCAAGCAGUUUCAGGGGACAGCAUUUGGGUAAGUAAGCUCCAGACCCACUUGAAGUCCAGCAGAUUAGAGAGAUGUAGUUUUAUCAGGACUAACGGCCAAUCAGAGAUGGAAAACUAAAGAA